CACAUGGACUGAGGACUAACCUUAAAACCAAGAAAGACAUUUCUAAGUCACAGAAUUUCUGACCUCACAGAUCCGGCAUAAUGCCGAUCAAUGGACCAAGUUACCCCUAGGGAUAACAGCUGCUAUCCCCUUUAAGAGUCCAUAUCGACUCAAGGGGGUUUACGACCUCGAUGUUGGAUUCAGGACAUCCCUAAUGGUGCAGACCGCUAUUAAGGGUUCGGUUGUUCACGAUUAAGUCCUACGUGAUCUGAGUUCAGAC
Molecule: ribosomal RNA, 259 nt
Filed under: Hoplosternum littorale (atipa)
Lineage: Eukaryota; Metazoa; Chordata; Actinopteri; Siluriformes; Callichthyidae
Description: partial large subunit ribosomal RNA
Rfam family: Bacterial large subunit ribosomal RNA
Source: RNAcentral